This is a non-coding RNA of Pelobates cultripes (western spadefoot toad), 214 nucleotides long. NCBI's taxonomy places the organism in Eukaryota, Metazoa, Chordata, Amphibia, Anura, Pelobatidae. The record is from the annotation of a GenBank genome assembly.
AUUGCUGACCCCAAUACUCCGCUUAAUUGAGAUUGAAUGAUUAUUAAAUCACGUUUUCAUUGAGGAUUCGCAAAGUUUGAUAUUGAAUCUUUAUUGUCAAGUCUGAUGUGGUCGGAGCCCCAUGAGACACCAAGGUUUCGGUCUUAAAGAAACACACCAGGAUAGACGUUUUGCCACAAUUUCUAUUUUAUCAUAUGUCGUGCAUAAAUUGUAC